GACGAACGCUGGCGGCGUGCUUAACACAUGCAAGUCGAACGGAAAGGCCCUGCUUUUGUGGGGUGCUCGAGUGGCGAACGGGUGAGUAACACGUGAGUAACCUGCCCUUGACUUUGGGAUAACUUCAGGAAACUGGGGCUAAUACCGGAUAGGAGCUCCUGCUGCAUGGUGGGGGUUGGAAAGUUUCGGCGGUUGGGGAUGGACUCGCGGCUUAUCAGCUUGUUGGUGGGGUAGUGGCUUACCAAGGCUUUGACGGGUAGCCGGCCUGGGAGGGUGGCCGGCCACAUUGGGACUGAGGUACGGCCCAGACUCCUACGGGAGGCAGCAGUGGGGAAUAUUGCACAAUGGGCGGAAGCCUGAUGCAGCAACGCCGCGUGCGGGAUGACGGCCUUCGGGUUGUAAACCGCUUUCGCCUGUGACGAAGCGUGAGUGACGGUAAUGGGUAAAGAAGCACCGGCUAACUACGUG
Molecule: ribosomal RNA, 468 nt
Filed under: uncultured bacterium
Lineage: Bacteria
Description: partial 16S ribosomal RNA
Rfam family: Bacterial small subunit ribosomal RNA
Source: RNAcentral